RNAcentral lists this transfer RNA (85 nucleotides) under Felis catus (domestic cat). It matches the Rfam family "tRNA". Rfam says of the family: Transfer RNA (tRNA) molecules are approximately 80 nucleotides in length. Their secondary structure includes four short double-helical elements and three loops (D, anti-codon, and T loops). The record is from Rfam by way of RNAcentral. Lineage: Eukaryota; Metazoa; Chordata; Mammalia; Carnivora; Felidae.
GCCUGGGUGGCUCAGUGAGUUGAGCAUCUGACUGUAGCUCAGAUCAUCGUCUCAUGGUUCAUGAGUUCGAUCCCCACAUCGGGCU